Molecule: non-coding RNA, 74 nt
Organism: Salimicrobium flavidum
Lineage: Bacteria; Bacillati; Bacillota; Bacilli; Caryophanales; Bacillaceae
Source: Rfam
GCGCCCGUAGCUCAAUUGGAUAGAGCGUCUGACUACGGAUCAGAAGGUUAGGGGUUCAAGUCCUCUCGGGCGCA